AGGAGCCGUAUGCGGUAGUUCCGCACGUACGGAUCUGUGCGGGGGGCGAGGAGCAAGCCUAGUCCCUACCUCGAC
Molecule: non-coding RNA, 75 nt
Filed under: Roseateles toxinivorans
Lineage: Bacteria; Pseudomonadati; Pseudomonadota; Betaproteobacteria; Burkholderiales; Sphaerotilaceae
Source: RNAcentral